This 492-nucleotide ribosomal RNA is filed under the name uncultured bacterium. Its description in RNAcentral is "partial 16S ribosomal RNA". It matches the Rfam family "Bacterial small subunit ribosomal RNA", at positions 29 to 507 of the family's 1533-position model. The record is from RNAcentral.
AGUGAACGCUGGCGGUAGGCCUAACACAUGCAAGUCGAACGGCAGCACAGUAAGAGCUUGCUCUUACGGGUGGCGAGUGGCGGACGGGUGAGGAAUACAUCGGAAUCUACUUUUUCGUGGGGGAUAACGUAGGGAAACUUACGCUAAUACCGCAUACGACCUACGGGUGAAAGCAGGGGAUCUUCGGACCUUGCGCGAUUGAAUGAGCCGAUGUCGGAUUAGCUAGUUGGCGGGGUAAAGGCCCACCAAGGCGACGAUCCGUAGCUGAUCUGAGAGGAUGAUCAGCCACACUGGAACUGAGACACGGUCCAGACUCCUACGGGAGGCAGCAGUGGGGAAUAUUGGACAAUGGGCGCAAGCCUGAUCCAGCCAUACCGCGUGGGUGAAGAAGGCCUUCGGGUUGUAAAGCCCUUUUGUUGGGAAAGAAAAGCAGCAGAUUAAUACCCCGCUGUUCUGACGGUACCCAAAGAAUAAGCACCGGCUAACUUCGUG